CCACCCUUCCUAUACUA
This 17-nucleotide transfer RNA is filed under the name Diplodactylus conspicillatus (fat-tailed gecko). RNAcentral describes it as "partial tRNA-Met". The record is from RNAcentral. Lineage: Eukaryota; Metazoa; Chordata; Lepidosauria; Squamata; Diplodactylidae. RNAcentral also lists the same sequence under 1 other name.